AUUCUCUUUGUGUCCUCUCACUCGGUGCCAGAUCAACUUACGUUUGAGGUGCCUCGCCUCUCAUCGGCCCACAUCCUGGAUGAAUAACCUGUUCCCGUCCUGUUUCCCUCCUGUGUGAUCACCUGGCCCCUCCCUAAUGUGUUUCACCUGUGUCUGGUUACCUGCACUCCCUGCCACUAUAUAUUCUCUUUGUGUCCUCUCACUCGGUGCCAGAUCAACUUACGUUUUGUAGUGUUCCAGCAGUUAUUCUCAGUAUCGACCCCUGUGUAUUGCCCAGUUCUGGUUCUUCGUUUUGACCCCUCUGCCUGCCAUUUCUGUCCCUCUGCCCGAUCUUCUGACACCUGGUGACGACCUUUUUUUCAGUAAUAAAGACCACGAUUUUGCAUAACGA
Long non-coding RNA from Notolabrus celidotus (New Zealand spotty), 391 nucleotides. RefSeq lists it as uncharacterized. NCBI's taxonomy places the organism in Eukaryota, Metazoa, Chordata, Actinopteri, Labriformes, Labridae. The transcript has 2 exons. The record is from RefSeq and is a predicted model, not a curated record.